AUAAUUCUAAAAAUGUCACCUCCACUCACAGCUGCUCUCCUGUUACAUUUCCUUCACUCUCUACCCAAAUCAUCCCCAUUCAAGAUUGAGGAAGGAUUCAAGGUGUUGCCGCAUCAUCAAAUCAGCUGAAGGCUGUAAAAGAAAAAAGACUGAGGUCCCCAGAGGAAGAGGAAAUUCUGCCUCCAGACUCAAGCUGCAACAUCAGCUCUUUCCUAGGUCUUUAGCCUGCUGACUUGCCCUGAAGAUCUCAGACUUAGACUUGCUAACUUUUUGCAUUGAAUCACAACACAUGAGCCAAUUCAUUAAGUUCCUCAUUAUGGUAUCCCAGAGGGUUUCAUGACAUGGACUUUUGUAAUAUGCCACAUGUGGUGAAGACCAGCAGUUCAACACCAGAAGGAAUCUGACCAGUGCUCACUGCAGCAUCUCCAGAAGUGAUAGGGAUUUGCUUAGGGAAUAAAGAACAUGGACUGCACUCUCCAUAGGACAUGGGUUUUUUCCAUCAGUAGUCUGGAUGAUUACCUAAAAGCAUGACGGUAAAUAACCGAUGCUUUUUCUCACCCACCUCACUCAUUGCAAAACCAGCCAAGAUCUUUCAUCUGUUGAGUGACUUGAGAUUUUGCUGUAAGAGUAAUCAUUUUUGUUUACCAGGAUGGUAAUACUGAAAUUGACCCAAUUGUCUCAUAGAAUGUUCUUUUUGAUAAACGUAGAAAUUGACCCUUCUGAUCUUAAAAAGCUUGAAACAUAUUUGUUUUAUCUGAGUUCCUUCCUCAGGAGACCACCUUCAGGCCUCACAAAAAGUACUGAAGAACUGAAACCAGAUCAUGGUAUCGAUGCUGGACCCCUCUUUCACCAUGACGGCUUCUUUACCUCUCCCAAGUUCCUGUUUUCUUACACAUUGUUACAUUUCUUGCCUGCAAUAUAAACCCCUGAUUUUAUUCAGUCAGGGAGAUGGAUGUGGGACUGAGCUUCUGUCUCCUUGGCUGUGGCACCUGAUUAAAGCCUUCUUCCUUGACAAUACUUGGCGUCUCAGUCAUUGGCUUUCUGUGCAGUAAGCAGCAGGACCUAGACCGAACCCCUGGUGUUUUAGUAGCAAUGCUACUAAAAAAGACAAGAUUGUUUUUUGUUUGCUUUCUGUAAAAAACAACAAAAGCAGAGAUAUAUAGAUGUAUACCCAUUCAAACAUUAUUUUCUGUUGAAAAGUUAAUUCAGACUUCUCAUUGACUAAUUGAAUGAUGACAAUCAUUUAAAAUAUGGCCUAUCAUAUAAUUGUUCAUGGAAAAACAUUAUUAACAGGUUGGCCUAUCUUUUUCAAG
This 1313-nucleotide long non-coding RNA is filed under the name Homo sapiens (human). Its description in RNAcentral is "HSALNT0161402". Lineage: Eukaryota; Metazoa; Chordata; Mammalia; Primates; Hominidae. The record is from RNAcentral.